AGUGAACGCUGGCGGUAGGCCUAACACAUGCAAGUCGAACGGCAGCACAGUAAGAGCUUGCUCUUACGGGUGGCGAGUGGCGGACGGGUGAGGAAUACAUCGGAAUCUACUUUUUCGUGGGGGAUAACGUAGGGAAACUUACGCUAAUACCGCAUAUGACCUACGGGUGAAAGCAGGGGAUCUUCGGACCUUGCGCGAUUGAAUGAGACGAUGUCGGAUUAGCUAGUUGGCGGGGUAAAGGCCCACCAAGGCGACGAUCCGUAGCUGGUCUGAGAGGAUGAUCAGCCACACUGGAACUGAGACACGGUCCAGACUCCUACGGGAGGCAGCAGUGGGGAAUAUUGGGCAAUGGGCGCAAGCCUGAUCCAGCCAUACCGCGUGGGUGAAGAAGGCCUUCGGGUUGUAAAGCCCUUUUGUUGGGAAAGAAAAGCAGCAGGUUAAUACCCCGCUGUUCUGACGGUACCCAAAGAAUAAGCACCGGCUAACUUCGUG
RNAcentral lists this ribosomal RNA (492 nucleotides) under uncultured bacterium. RNAcentral's name for it is "partial 16S ribosomal RNA". It matches the Rfam family "Bacterial small subunit ribosomal RNA", at positions 29 to 507 of the family's 1533-position model. The record is from RNAcentral.